RNAcentral lists this ribosomal RNA (376 nucleotides) under uncultured bacterium. RNAcentral's name for it is "bacterial SSU rRNA". It matches the Rfam family "Bacterial small subunit ribosomal RNA", at positions 523 to 898 of the family's 1533-position model. The record is from RNAcentral.
AAACGUAGGAGGCAAGCGUUAUCCGGAUUUACUGGGCGUAAAGCGCAUGCAGGUGGUUUUGUAAGUUGGAUGUGAAAGCUCCUGGCUUAACUGGGAGAGGUCGUUCAAAACUACAAGACUUGAGAUUGGUAGAGGAAAAUGGAAUUCCGGGUGUAGUGGUGGAAUGCGUAGAUAUCCGGAGGAACACCAGUGGCGAAAGCGGUUUUCUGGACCAAUUCUGACACUCAGAUGCGAAAGCUAAGGUAGCAAACGGGAUUAGAGACCCCGGUAGUCUUAGCUGUAAACUAUGUGAACUUGGCGUCGGUGGGUUCAAAUCCAUCGGUGCCGAAGCAAACGCGAUAAGUUCACCGCCUGGGACUACGGCCGCAAGGUUAAA